UGACGACCGGCGGCACGGGUGAGUAACGCGUAUACAAUUUACCUUAUACUGGAGGAUAGCCUUUAGAAAUGAAGAUUAAUACUCCAUGGCAUUAUGAUAUGGCAUCAUAUUAUAAUUAAAGAUUUAUUGGUAUAAGAUGAGUAUGCGUCCUAUUAGUUAGUUGGUAAGGUAAUGGCUUACCAAGACAUCGAUAGGUAGGGGCCCUGAGAGGGGGACCCCCCACACUGGUACUGAGACACGGACCAGACUCCUACGGGAGGCAGCAGUGAGGAAUAUUGGACAAUGGAGGCAACUCUGAUCCAGCCAUGCCGCGUGCAGGAAGACGGCCCUAUGGGUUGUAAACUGCUUUUAUAUAGGAAGAAACCCCACCACGUGUGGUGGGCUGACGGUACUGUAUGAAUAAGCACCGGCUAACUCCGUGCCAGCAGCCGCGGUAAUACGGAGGGUGCAAGCGUUAUCCGGAAUCAUUGGGUUUAAAGGGUCCGUAGGCGGGUAAUUAAGUCAGAGGUGAAAUCCCACAGCUUAACUGUGGAACUGCCUUAGAUACUGGUUAUCUUGAGUUUUGGUGAAGUAGAUAGAAUGUGUAGUGUAGCGGUGAAAUGCAUAGAUAUUACACAGAAUACCGAUUGCGAAGGCAGUCUACUAACUAACAACUGACGCUAAUGGACGAAAGCGUGGGGAGCGAACAGGAUUAGAUACCCUGGUAGUCCACGCCGUAAACGAUGGAUACUAGUUGUUUGGAUUUAUCUGAGUGACUAAGCGAAAGUGAUAA
RNAcentral lists this ribosomal RNA (772 nucleotides) under uncultured Bacteroidota bacterium. Its description in RNAcentral is "bacterial SSU rRNA". It matches the Rfam family "Bacterial small subunit ribosomal RNA", at positions 88 to 863 of the family's 1533-position model. The record is from RNAcentral. Lineage: Bacteria; Pseudomonadati; Bacteroidota.